GAUGAACGCCAUUUACAGGCUUAACACAUGCAAGUCGAGGGGCAGCAUGGUCUUAGCUUGCUAAGGCCGAUGGCGACCGGCGCACGGGUGAGUAACACGUAUCCAACCUGCCGUCUACUCUUGGACAGCCUUCUGAAAGGAAGAUUAAUACAAGAUGGCAUCAUGAGUCCGCAUGUUCACAUGAUUAAAGGUAUUCCGGUAGACGAUGGGGAUGCGUUCCAUUAGAUAGUAGGCGGGGUAACGGCCCACCUAGUCUUCGAUGGAUAGGGGUUCUGAGAGGAAGGUCCCCCACAUUGGAACUGAGACACGGUCCAAACUCCUACGGGAGGCAGCAGUGAGGAAUAUUGGUCAAUGGGCGAGAGCCUGAACCAGCCAAGUAGCGUGAAGGAUGACUGCCCUAUGGGUUGUAAACUUCUUUUAUAAAGGAAUAAAGUCGGGUAUGGAUACCCGUUUGCAUGUACUUUAUGAAUAAGGAUCGGCUAACUCCGUGCCAGCAGCCGCGGUAAUACGGAGGAUCCGAGCGUUAUCCGGAUUUAUUGGGUUUAAAGGGAGCGUAGAUGGAUGUUUAAGUCAGUUGUGAAAGUUUGCGGCUCAACCGUAAAAUUGCAGUUGAUACUGGAUAUCUUGAGUGCAGUUGAGGCAGGCGGAAUUCGUGGUGUAGCGGUGAAAUGCUUAGAUAUCACGAAGAACUCCGAUUGCGAAGGCGGCCUGCUAAGCUGCAACUGACAUUGAGGCUCGAAAGUGUGGGUAUCAAACAGGAUUAGAUACCCUGGUAGUCCACACGGUAAACGAUGAAUACUCGCUGUUUGCGAUAUACUGCAAGCGGCCAAGCGAAAGCGUUAAGUAUUCCACCUGGGGAGUACGCCGGCAACGGUGAAACUCAAAGGAAUUGACGGGGGCCCGCACAAGCGGAGGAACAUGUGGUUUAAUUCGAUGAUACGCGAGGAACCUUACCCGGGCUUAAAUUGCAGAUGAAUUACGGUGAAAGCCGUAAGCCGCAAGGCAUCUGUGAAGGUGCUGCAUGGUUGUCGUCAGCUCGUGCCGUGAGGUGUCGGCUUAAGUGCCAUAACGAGCGCAACCCUUGUUGUCAGUUACUAACAGGUUCCGCUGAGGACUCUGACAAGACUGCCAUCGUAAGAUGUGAGGAAGGUGGGGAUGACGUCAAAUCAGCACGGCCCUUACGUCCGGGGCUACACACGUGUUACAAUGGGGGGUACAGAGGGCCGCUACCACGCGAGUGGAUGCCAAUCCCCAAAACCUCUCUCAGUUCGGACUGGAGUCUGCAACCCGACUCCACGAAGCUGGAUUCGCUAGUAAUCGCGCAUCAGCCACGGCGCGGUGAAUACGUUCCCGGGCCUUGUACACACCGCCCGUCAAGCCAUGGGAGCCGGGGGUACCUGAAGUGCGUAACCGCGAGGAGCGCCCUAGGGUAAAACUGGUGACUGGGC
Molecule: ribosomal RNA, 1448 nt
Filed under: uncultured organism
Description: SSU rRNA
Rfam family: Bacterial small subunit ribosomal RNA
Source: RNAcentral